GCGCAGCAGGCGAGAAUAGUCUACAAUGGACGAAAGUCUGAUAGUGCGACGCCGUGUGUGCGAUUAAUUCCUUCGGGAUGUAAAGCACUUUUCUAUGAGAUAAAAGCUCUUUAGGUUAAUAGCUUAUUGAGACGGAUAUUAUUAUAGGAAUAAGCUCCGGCUAACUCCGUGCCAGCAGCCGCGGUAAUACGGAAGGAGCGAGCGUUGUCCGGAUUUACUAGGCGUAAAGGGCUAGUAGGCGACUAAUUAAGUUAUAUGUUAAAUCCCACGGCUCAACUGUGGUCCUGCAUGUAAUACUGGUUAGAUAGAGUACUGUAGAGGAAGGCAGAAUUCCUGGAGUAGCGGUGGAAUGCGCAGAUAUCAGGAAGAAUACCAAAAGCGAAGGCAGCCUUCUGGGCAGUUACUGACGCUGAAUAGCGAAGGUGUGGGUAGCGAACAGGAUUAGAUACCCGUGUA
This 456-nucleotide ribosomal RNA is filed under the name uncultured microorganism. RNAcentral describes it as "bacterial SSU rRNA". It matches the Rfam family "Bacterial small subunit ribosomal RNA", at positions 346 to 792 of the family's 1533-position model. The record is from RNAcentral.